RNAcentral lists this ribosomal RNA (567 nucleotides) under Hanseniaspora uvarum. Its description in RNAcentral is "partial large subunit ribosomal RNA". It matches the Rfam family "Eukaryotic large subunit ribosomal RNA", at positions 38 to 607 of the family's 3401-position model. The record is from RNAcentral. Lineage: Eukaryota; Fungi; Ascomycota; Saccharomycetes; Saccharomycodales; Saccharomycodaceae.
GCAUAUCAAUAAGCGGAGGAAAAGAAACCAACUGGGAUUACCUUAGUAACGGCGAGUGAAGCGGUAAAAGCUCAAAUUUGAAAUCUGGUACUUUCAGUGCCCGAGUUGUAAUUUGUAGAAUUUGUCUUUGAUUAGGUCCUUGUCUAUGUUCCUUGGAACAGGACGUCAUAGAGGGUGAGAAUCCCGUUUGGCGAGGAUACCUUUUCUCUGUAAGACUUUUUCGAAGAGUCGAGUUGUUUGGGAAUGCAGCUCAAAGUGGGUGGUAAAUUCCAUCUAAAGCUAAAUAUUGGCGAGAGACCGAUAGCGAACAAGUACAGUGAUGGAAAGAUGAAAAGAACUUUGAAAAGAGAGUGAAAAAGUACGUGAAAUUGUUGAAAGGGAAGGGCAUUUGAUCAGACAUGGUGUUUUUUGCAUGCACUCGCCUCUCGUGGGCUUGGGCCUCUCAAAAAUUUCACUGGGCCAACAUCAAUUCUGGCAGCAGGAUAAAUCAUUAAGAAUGUAGCUACUUCGGUAGUGUUAUAGCUUUUUGGAAUACUGUUAGCCGGGAUUGAGGACUGCGCUUCGGCA